Molecule: ribosomal RNA, 428 nt
Filed under: uncultured bacterium
Lineage: Bacteria
Description: bacterial SSU rRNA
Rfam family: Bacterial small subunit ribosomal RNA
Source: RNAcentral
GAUGAACGCUAGCGGCAGGCUUAACACAUGCAAGUCGAGGGGUAUAGUAGCAAUACUUGAGACCGGCGCACGGGUGCGUAACGCGUAUGCAAUCUACCUUUCACAGAGGGAUAGCCCAGAGAAAUUUGGAUUAAUACCUCAUAGUAUAUAGACCUGGCAUCAGGAUUAUAUUAAAGUCACAACGGUGAAAGAUGAGCAUGCGUCCCAUUAGCUAGUUGGUAUGGUAACGGCAUACCAAGGCGACGAUGGGUAGGGGUCCUGAGAGGGAGAUCCCCCACACUGGUACUGAGACACGGACCAGACUCCUACGGGAGGCAGCAGUGAGGAAUAUUGGACAAUGGGCGCAAGCCUGAUCCAGCCAUGCCGCGUGCAGGAUGACGGUCCUAUGGCUUGUAAACUGCUUUUGCACAGGAAGAAACAACAUUACG